GUAAAAUAACCACACAAAAAAUGACAAAGGAACUAUCAACGAAACAAAAAACAGCUCAAAUUACAUUAAAAAUUUGACCCACAAAGAAUUCACAAAAAUAAAUCCAAUGAAAACAAUGAUUGAUCAACAUCCAAAGAACAAGACCCUUCAAAAUUGAGCCAAAUGUAACAUCAAAGAAUGUAAAAUUCAAUAUUGACACAAAGAACAAAAUCCAGAAAAGAUCCUUAUUAACCACACAUAAAAUGACAAAGGAAUCAUCAACGAAAAAAAAAAAAGAAGCUCAAAUUACAUUAAAAAUUCAACACAAAAAGAAUUCACAAAAACAAAUCCAGUGAAAACAAUGAUUGAUCAACAUCCAAAGAACAUAUCCCUUCAAAAUUGAGCCAAAUGUAACAUCAAAGAAUGUAACACCCAAUAUUGACUAUCGCUACAAAGAACAAAAUCCAAAAAAGAAUGUAAUAAUAAAAGACAGCGGAAUUAUAAAAACAAAGAAAGCAGGGUCAAUCUAAGACCAUAAUUUCUAAAAUAACCACAUAUAAAAUGACAAAGGAACCAUCAACGAAACCAAAAAAGCUCAAGUUACAUUAAAAAUUCAACCCACAAAGAAUUCACAAAAACAAAUCCAAUGAAAACAGUAAUUGAUUGACAUCCAAGAACAAGACCACAAAGAUCUGUCAAUAUUCAUCCAAAUGUUAGAAAAAAAAAAUCACUUAGUGAUAGUCAUGAACUACUUAAUGAAGAGAACUUAUUAUCUCAAUAAAAAAACAAAACUGUUGAAAUAAGCAUACACAAAAAGAAAAACCACUAAUUACCAAUUAUCCUUAUUCAAUCGAAGCACAAUUUUUGUUAAAGAUGCAGCAAAAAAAGAACAGAGAGAAUUCACAUAAAUCAAUCUAGUGAACAGAAACAGAAAGAAUCCUUCAAGAUUCUAGCCAAUGCACUAAAGAUAUAAAAAUUAAAGAAACAAAGACAACAUGACACGCUCAGAGGACUAUUAUUGAAGUAAUCGUAUAUAAAAUGAAAGUGAACCCCCAAAAAAAUUUCAAAAAAGAUCCUGCAAAAUUCAUCCAAAUGCAACAUCAAAAAUGUAAUCAUAAGGACAAUG
RNAcentral lists this long non-coding RNA (1105 nucleotides) under Olea europaea subsp. europaea. The record is from RNAcentral. Lineage: Eukaryota; Viridiplantae; Streptophyta; Magnoliopsida; Lamiales; Oleaceae.